Molecule: unclassified non-coding RNA, 342 nt
Filed under: soil metagenome
Description: partial contains 5.8S ribosomal RNA, internal transcribed spacer 2, and large subunit ribosomal RNA
Rfam family: 5.8S ribosomal RNA (bases 1-120)
Source: RNAcentral
GAUGAAGAACGCAGCGAAAUGCGAUAAGUAAUGUGAAUUGCAGAAUUCAGUGAAUCAUCGAAUCUUUGAACGCACAUUGCGCCCGCCAGCAUUCUGGCGGGCAUGCCUGUUCGAGCGUCAUUUCAACCCUCGAGCCCCCCCGGGGGCCUCGGUGUUGGGGGACGGCACACCAGCCGCCCCCGAAAUGCAGUGGCGACCCCGCCGCAGCCUCCCCUGCGUAGUAGCACACACCUCGCACCGGAGCGCGGAGGCGGUCACGCCGUAAAACGCCCAACUUUCUAGAGUUGACCUCGGAUCAGGUAGGAAUACCCGCUGAACUUAAGCAUAUCAAUAAGCGGAGGA